This 350-nucleotide transfer-messenger RNA is filed under the name Pseudooceanicola antarcticus. Its description in RNAcentral is "Alphaproteobacteria transfer-messenger RNA". It matches the Rfam family "Alphaproteobacteria transfer-messenger RNA". From Rfam's summary of the family: Bacterial tmRNA, also known as 10Sa RNA or SsrA, is named for its dual tRNA and mRNA-like properties. Its role is to liberate the mRNA from a stalled ribosome. To accomplish this part of the tmRNA is used as a reading frame that ends in a translation stop signal. Lineage: Bacteria; Pseudomonadati; Pseudomonadota; Alphaproteobacteria; Rhodobacterales; Paracoccaceae. The record is from RNAcentral.
CCCCUUCAAAUCCGCCUGCAGCCGCCCUAUAUCUCAGCUGUCACUUCGGUGACUAUGGGCAUAAACGCGCAUGUAAUAAGCGGAUCGGACCCGGGGGCGGUACCCGGCGGCUCCACCAUACAUCCCUUGUUGGGGGAUCAUGGGGCCGAAAUAGGAUCGACGAACGUGUAAAGAUGUAGCUUUGUCCCGGUGAGAUACCACCGUUAUCGGUUCGCUAAGUACAAUUGCCAACAACAAUCGUGCUCCGGUUGCUCUGGCUGCGUAAGCAGUUAGAAAUACCGAAACUUAAGCCCUUGGGCCUAGCAGCUUAAGGCGGGGUUCGCAGGUACCUGGCAACAGAAACCUGCACU